CGCGCUGCCGCAGGCUUGCCGUGUUACCGCCGAGGAACUUAAUGACACUUCGUAUUUCAUGUGAAGUACGUGGCCCCUCGUCUUUCUUGUCACCCUCUGCGCUUGGUGUUUGGGGAGAAGCCAGGGGGGCACCGAUCCGGGAUUCAGAGGGACUGCAACGGGGGGACGGGAUCUAGCCCUGGUUUGGGGUUGGGAAAACCUGGUUGCUUGGGGGAUUAGGCAAAACGUCUGGUUAGAAUUGGUAUUUAAAUGGAGCAAAUCAUGUUAUGUGUGUAUAUGUGUAUAUAUUCACAUACACCAACGCAUAAUUAUAUCUUCAAGCCUUAUGACAAUUUCAGACCUAAAGGCACCCUUAGAAAGCGUGAAUGCCACACUUUCAGUUUUAAGGGGGAGAGAACUACUACCCAGAGAAGAAGUAUGUAUAUUCACGCUUAUAGUUAAGAAAAUCAAAUCUGAUGUUCUCAGUUCUGCCGAUUGCCUACCUAGCCAAGUCUUCAAUAAAAGGACUGAGGCAGGAACCAUGGCAUUGGAGUUUAUGCCAUGGGACCUUCCCUGACCCUGUUUCCCUUUCUUUGAACCUCAGUUUCUUCAUCUUCCAAGUGGAGAUUUCUGGGCUAGAUUAAGCCCACCUGAGGUUUGCAGGUACCUUUUGAAUACAGGUCUCCAGUCCAACACACACCGAAGAACUCAGUGCCUGAGAUAUGUUCAUCUUAUUCCACGUUCCGACGGUUUGGAAUUUGUAUAACAACUGCAUAUAUUCUUCUGUAUCGUCCACUAUUACCUGAUAAAAUGUGAAAAUAAAUAUGAGGCUCUAGUCCUUUGAGCGCAGUCUUUGGGCACGUGGGCUUCAGUAGUUGCAGUCCUCACCAUCAGUCAUUGAGGCACCUGGGCUUAGUUGCCCCAUGGCAUGUUGGGUCUUCCCAGACCAGGGAUCGAACCCAGGUUCGAUGGACUGGAC
Long non-coding RNA from Capra hircus (goat), 958 nucleotides. RefSeq lists it as uncharacterized. The record is from RefSeq and is a predicted model, not a curated record. The transcript has 3 exons. NCBI's taxonomy places the organism in Eukaryota, Metazoa, Chordata, Mammalia, Artiodactyla, Bovidae.